AUCCAGACUCCUACGGGAGGCAGCAGUGGGGGAUAUUGCACAAUGGGGGGAACCCUGAUGCAGCGACGCCGCGUGGGUGAAGAAGCGCCUCGGCGCGUAAAGCCCUGUCAGCAGGGAAGAAAAUGACGGUACCUGAAGAAGAAGCCCCGGCUAACUACGUGCCAGCAGCCGCGGUAAUACGGAGGGUGCAAGCGUUACUCGGAAUCACUGGGCGUAAAGAGCGCGUAGGCGGGAUAGCAAGUCAGAUGUGAAAACCAUGGGCUCAACCUGUGGCCUGCAUUUGAAACUGUUUUUCUUGAGUACUGGAGAGGCAGACGGAAUUCCUAGUGUAGCGGUGAAAUGCGUAGAUAUUAGGAGGAACACCAGUGGCGAGGGCGGUCUGCUGGACAGCAACUGACGCUGAGGCGCGAAAGCGUGGGGAGCAAACAGGAUUAGAUACCCUAGUAUA
RNAcentral lists this ribosomal RNA (448 nucleotides) under uncultured bacterium. Its description in RNAcentral is "bacterial SSU rRNA". It matches the Rfam family "Bacterial small subunit ribosomal RNA", at positions 329 to 794 of the family's 1533-position model. The record is from RNAcentral.